UUGAUUUUUCAUCUUUUAUGCAUACAAAAGUUAUAAAUAGUAAGGAUUCUAACAUUGUCAUCAUGUAACUAAAAAAUAAAAUUUUCUCAGUACUGUAUGUUCAUUAUAGCUAUACCUAUACAUAUGAAAAUUGUGUGCACGUGCCACAAAAAGGCUCCUUCAGCAGUUAAGAACAACAAAUUAGAAGAAAUUUGCUAUAUAUACAGGGUUAAUUAAAACAAUAGGUAUGUUUCCCUUUUAAAGAAGUAUAUGUUUUAACAGUAGGAACAAAAACUGUUAGUGAACUGAAUAGAGAGCACACAUUUUAUAGCCUGGGUUUUCAAGCUAC
Molecule: long non-coding RNA, 328 nt
Filed under: Hordeum vulgare
Lineage: Eukaryota; Viridiplantae; Streptophyta; Magnoliopsida; Poales; Poaceae
Description: long non-coding RNA (HVUL_LNC015008)
Source: RNAcentral